Molecule: long non-coding RNA, 331 nt
Filed under: Fukomys damarensis (Damara mole-rat)
Lineage: Eukaryota; Metazoa; Chordata; Mammalia; Rodentia; Bathyergidae
Description: lncRNA (ENSFDAG00000025505.1)
Source: RNAcentral
GGGAGCUUCUUUUAUAGGAGUGGGGUGGGGUUAGCCUGAGCUGGAGUGACAUCACGAGGAGGGGCUUGUGACCUCAUUAGCUGCUAGGAGGUAGCAAGUAUCAGGUUACUCUUUUGGAGGGAGGAGAGGCAUGCUGGGAAGAAGAAGCCUGUCCUUUGUUGGGAGAAGCCAUAUUUUAACAUGGAGGCUGCUAUUCCGUGUGGCAGCCAUUUUAAGACAAGGGAAAUCUAAUAUUUCAGGCUUUUUGUUUUAUGGUUAUUGGGUGAAGGUCUCUUCUCCUGGAGGAUGUACAGGCCAUUGGACACGCAGAUGGGACACUCUUCUGAGAUAA